This 371-nucleotide ribosomal RNA is filed under the name uncultured bacterium. Its description in RNAcentral is "bacterial SSU rRNA". It matches the Rfam family "Bacterial small subunit ribosomal RNA", at positions 527 to 896 of the family's 1533-position model. The record is from RNAcentral.
GUAGGGGGCAAGCGUUGUCCGGAUUUAUUGGGCGUAAAGAGCGUGUAGGCGGCCUGAAAGGUCAGCUGUGAAAACUCGAGGCUCAACCUCGAGACGUCGGUUGAAACCAUCUGGCUAGAGUCCGGAAGAGGAGUGUGGAAUUCCCGGUGUAGCGGUGAAAUGCGCAGAUAUCGGGAAGAACACCCGUGGCGAAGGCGGCACUCUGGGACGGUACUGACGCUGAGACGCGAAAGCGUGGGGAGCGAACAGGAUUAGAUACCCUGGUAGUCCACGCUGUAAACGAUGAGUGCUAGGUGUGGGGGGUGUCGACUCCCUCCGUGCCGAAGCUAACGCAUUAAGCACCCCGCCUGGGGAGUACGGCCGCAAGGCUA